UAUACGGUGAAACUGCGAAUGGCUCAUUAAAUCAGUUAUCGUUUAUUUGAUAGUACCUUACUACUUGGAUAACCGUGGUAAUUCUAGAGCUAAUACAUGCUAAAAACCCCAACUUCGGAAGGGGUGUAUUUAUUAGAUAAAAAACCAACGCCCUUCGGGGCUCCUUGGUGAUUCAUAAUAACUAAACGAAUCGCAUGGCCUUGCGCCGGCGAUGGUUCAUUCAAAUUUCUGCCCUAUCAACUUUCGAUGGUAGGAUAGUGGCCUACCAUGGUAUCAACGGGUAACGGGGAAUUAGGGUUCUAUUCCGGAGAGGGAGCCUGAGAAACGGCUACCACAUCCAAGGAAGGCAGCAGGCGCGCAAAUUACCCAAUCCCGACACGGGGAGGUAGUGACAAUAAAUACUGAUACAGGGCUCUUUUGGGUCUUGUAAUUGGAAUGAGUACAAUUUAAAUCCCUUAACGAGGAACAAUUGGAGGGCAAGUCUGGUGCCAGCAGCCGCGGUAAUUCCAGCUCCAAUAGCGUAUAUUAAAGUUGUUGCAGUUAAAAAGCUCGUAGUUGAACCUUGGGCCUGGCUGGCCGGUCCGCCUCACCGCGUGUACUGGUCCGGCCGGGCCUUUCCUUCUGGGGAGCCGCAUGCCCUUCACUGGGCGUGUCGGGGAACCAGGACUUUUACUUUGAAAAAAUUAGAGUGUUCAAAGCAGGCCUUUGCUCGAAUACAUUAGCAUGGAAUAAUAGAAUAGGACGUGCGGUUCUAUUUUGUUGGUUUCUAGGACCGCCGUAAUGAUUAAUAGGGAUAGUCGGGGGCAUCAGUAUUCAAUUGUCAGAGGUGAAAUUCUUGGAUUUAUUGAAGACUAACUACUGCGAAAGCAUUUGCCAAGGAUGUUUUCAUUAAUCAGUGAACGAAAGUUAGGGGAUCGAAGACGAUCAGAUACCGUCGUAGUCUUAACCAUAAACUAUGCCGACUAGGGAUCGGGCGAUGUUAUCAUUUUGACUCGCUCGGCACCUUACGAGAAAUCAAAGUC
RNAcentral lists this ribosomal RNA (1022 nucleotides) under Selenophoma linicola. RNAcentral describes it as "SSU rRNA". It matches the Rfam family "Eukaryotic small subunit ribosomal RNA", at positions 75 to 1105 of the family's 1831-position model. The record is from RNAcentral. Lineage: Eukaryota; Fungi; Ascomycota; Dothideomycetes; Dothideales.